Onychostoma macrolepis is the source of this 222-nucleotide long non-coding RNA. RefSeq lists it as uncharacterized. The transcript is spliced from 3 exons. The record is from RefSeq and is a predicted model, not a curated record. Lineage: Eukaryota; Metazoa; Chordata; Actinopteri; Cypriniformes; Cyprinidae.
GGACAUGGAGGGAAUUUAAAUUUUCAUCAACAACAUAUGAAGAAAAAUCAAGUUCUUUGGAAUGAUUGUGAUAAGACUGAAAUGGGUGCCAACUGAAUAGUGGAAAUCAGGUGGUGAUCAGCAUGCUGGGAAAGAGGAAAUCAGAGUGAAGUAGUUUGGGAGUUGUGGUGCGAACCUUGGCGCUCUUGACGAGUUUUCCCUGAAGUAUGGUCUCGGUGGCUG